GAUGAACGCUGGCGGCGUGCCUAACACAUGCAAGUCGAGCGAGGGUUUGCUCAGUAUUGAGUAUUCUAAGACUAGAAUGUUCAAUUCUGAGCAAAACCAAGCGGCGGACGGGUGAGUAACGCGUGGGUAACCUGCCCUAUACACAUGGAUAACAUACUGAAAAGUUUACUAAUACAUGAUAAUAUAUAUUUGCGGCAUCGCAGAUAUAUCAAAGUGUUAGCGGUAUAGGAUGGACCCGCGUCUGAUUAGCUAGUUGGUGAGAUAGCUGCCCACCAAGGCGACGAUCAGUAGCCGACCUGAGAGGGUGAUCGGCCACAUUGGAACUGAGACACGGUCCAAACUCCUACGGGAGGCAGCAGUGGGGAAUAUUGCACAAUGGGCGAAAGCCUGAUGCAGCAACGCCGCGUGAACGAUGAAGGUCUUCGGAUCGUAAAGUUCUGUUGCAGGGGAAGAUAAUGACGGUACCCU
This 468-nucleotide ribosomal RNA is filed under the name Peptostreptococcus stomatis. Its description in RNAcentral is "bacterial SSU rRNA". It matches the Rfam family "Bacterial small subunit ribosomal RNA", at positions 28 to 481 of the family's 1533-position model. The record is from RNAcentral. Lineage: Bacteria; Bacillati; Bacillota; Clostridia; Peptostreptococcales; Peptostreptococcaceae.